AUUGAACGCUGGCGGCAGGCCUAACACAUGCAAGUCGAGCGGAUGAAGGGAGCUUGCUCCUGGAUUCAGCGGCGGACGGGUGAGUAAUGCCUAGGAAUCUGCCUGGUAGUGGGGGAUAACGUCCGGAAACGGGCGCUAAUACCGCAUACGUCCUGAGGGAGAAAGUGGGGGAUCUUCGGACCUCACGCCAUCAGAUGAGCCUAGGUCGGAUUAGCUAGUUGGUGGGGUAAAGGCCUACCAAGGCGACGAUCGGUAACUGGUCUGAGAGGAUGAUCAGUCACACUGGAACUGAGACACGGUCCAGACUCCUACGGGAGGCAGCAGUGGGGAAUAUUGGACAAUGGGCGAAAGCCUGAUCCAGCCAUGCCGCGUGUGUGAAGAAGGUCUUCGGAUUGUAAAGCACUUUAAGUUGGGAGGAAGGGCAGUAAGUUAAUACCUUGCUGUUUUGACGUUACCAACAGAAUAAGCACCGGCUAACUUCGUG
This 484-nucleotide ribosomal RNA is filed under the name uncultured bacterium. RNAcentral describes it as "partial 16S ribosomal RNA". It matches the Rfam family "Bacterial small subunit ribosomal RNA", at positions 30 to 507 of the family's 1533-position model. The record is from RNAcentral.